GAGUGAGUUGAGUCUUCUCUUUCAGAGAAUCAUCUGAUGAAAUUCCAGGCUCCUGAAAGGUUGGAGGAAGAGUCAGGGAAGCAGGGAUAUAGCAAGCCCAUAAUGACAACUAACACCUCCAAAACUGAAUAGGGCUAGAUGAAAUGUAAUGGAACCUUCAGAUAUAUGAAGAUUUAAUUUCGCACAAGUGUUGCCAACAGUCAUGUUCUGAGAGCUGCUACUGUAGAAGGAAAAAACAAGCAUGCUAGGACCCCGGAUUAUGCUGGGCGUGAGUGUCAACAGCAGCCCAGAUUGGAGGCCCAGAACCUACUGAAGAUUCCAGAAGCCUGCCAGGCUCCUUUGCCAGAGAAGAAGAAUAAAAAACAACCCACUGAAAACUUCAGUUGUUCAGGUAAGAUCAACAAACUAGAUGAGUGAAAGGGAGCCAGAAGCAGAAACGGGACAAGGAAAUAGACUAUUAGUGUGACAAGCGCUCCGAUAUGGACUGCCACAAGGAUAUAGUCAUUGAGCCUACUAGGCCCUCUGCAAGGCAAUG
RNAcentral lists this long non-coding RNA (535 nucleotides) under Homo sapiens (human). RNAcentral's name for it is "non-protein coding lnc-RTL4-4:2". Lineage: Eukaryota; Metazoa; Chordata; Mammalia; Primates; Hominidae. The record is from RNAcentral.